Molecule: long non-coding RNA, 537 nt
Filed under: Cyanistes caeruleus (blue tit)
Lineage: Eukaryota; Metazoa; Chordata; Aves; Passeriformes; Paridae
Description: lncRNA (ENSCCEG00000018590.1)
Source: RNAcentral
CUGAUGACCUAGAAGGAGAGGAGGAACUCAAAAACAAGUGAGUGCAUGCACAAAUUUGCUGUAUUUCCCAUCAAUAUUUCCUAAUGUGCUCUUGGAAAGGAGAAUGCAUGGAAAACAAAAAAAAAACCUACCCCUGAAAAGGAGCCCAGUGUUUAGAAGGAGAUAGAUCUGUGCCUGAAACUGGAAGCAGAAUGUGUGUAUCCAUUAGAAACAGCACCUUGCCAGAGGAUCAGGAAAAUAAAAGUAACUGACUGAUGAGGAGGCACAGCAGAAGACCUGGCAGAUCCUGGCUGAGCAUCUUUGGUGGACCCCUGAACCCUCUAUUAUACAACAAUUCCUGCUACAGCUCAAGCAGGUGAUGGCCCUGGAGACUCCCUGGCUGACACCUCUCUAAGCCACCUGGGACCCAGAGAGUUUUGUGACUUCCUCGGUGUUGUGAGGAGCAGGAGGCCCAGAGUUUGCCCACUGUAACCAUGUGUUGGAGAAACUUGGGUGUAAAGUGGUGGAAGCAUACCUGGGUCUGUUGGGGGAACUGGA